UAUGCAAAUGCGGAAAGCCUGAUCCAGCCAUGCCGCGUGAGUGAUGAAGGCCCUAGGGUUGUAAAGCUCUUUCAACGGUGAAGAUAAUGACGGUAACCGUAGAAGAAGCCCCGGCUAACUUCGUGCCAGCAGCCGCGGUAAUACGAAGGGGGCUAGCGUUGUUCGGAAUUACUGGGCGUAAAGCGCACGUAGGCGGAUUGUUAAGUUAGGGGUGAAAUCCCAGGGCUCAACCCUGGAACUGCCUUUAAUACUGGCAAUCUCGAGUCCGAGAGAGGUGAGUGGAAUUCCGAGUGUAGAGGUGAAAUUCGUAGAUAUUCGGAGGAACACCAGUGGCGAAGGCGGCUCACUGGCUCGGUA
This 357-nucleotide ribosomal RNA is filed under the name Mesorhizobium loti. RNAcentral describes it as "bacterial SSU rRNA". It matches the Rfam family "Bacterial small subunit ribosomal RNA", at positions 364 to 739 of the family's 1533-position model. The record is from RNAcentral. Lineage: Bacteria; Pseudomonadati; Pseudomonadota; Alphaproteobacteria; Hyphomicrobiales; Phyllobacteriaceae.